Molecule: ribosomal RNA, 254 nt
Filed under: uncultured bacterium
Lineage: Bacteria
Description: partial 16S ribosomal RNA
Rfam family: Bacterial small subunit ribosomal RNA
Source: RNAcentral
UACGAAGGGGGGCUAGCGUUGUUCGGAAUUACUGGGCGUAAAGCGCACGUAGGCGGAUAUUUAAGUCAGGGGUGAAAUCCCGGGGCUCAACCCCGGAACUGCCUUUGAUACUGGGUAUCUAGAGUCCAGAAGAGGUGAGUGGAAUUCCGAGUGUAGAGGUGAAAUUCGUAGAUAUUCGGAGGAACACCAGUGGCGAAGGCGGCUCACUGGUCUGGUACUGACGCUGAGGUGCGAAAGCGUGGGGAGCAAACAGG